GCAGUGAUUCUUUUCAAUUAUCAACUUCUGAAUGCUUCAGAUUAAAACAUCAAGACAUAAACACAAUAGAAAAAUAAGGAUGAUAUGGCGAUGAUGCUGUGGACAAACAGCCCACCAGAAUUCUGGUCAACCAGAAGUUGACCAGUUCGUCCAAAACCGGACAAUCAGUCCAGUUCGAUGGUCCGACCGCCAGUUCAAAGCCAGUCCGACCUUGAAUGGUCCAAUUCGCAAGACCGAACCAAAGAGAUCGCCGAUCGAUGGUCAGACCAAUUAGACCGGCCAGUCCAAUCUGAUUUUCAAAACAAUACAAAAAACAACUCCCUCCUCGACUUACUUAGAGUUCAGUCAAUCCAUAAAGUUUAUCAUAGACAAUGAACAAGCUCUAUGCACACUCUAACCUUCUACAAAAAAUUAAAUAUAAAAGAUUAUCAAAUUGCCUGAUUCAAUUUUUCGUUGUUAUAUCAAAUGCUCUCCCAUUACUCUCCUUCCACAUGGCCCAUAUAAGUAUAAAGAAGUAGCUCUCUAGGCUUUCUUCCUCUUCUUCCCAACAAAGGAUCCAUGUCAUCUCAAAAGGGGAUCUUCACUAAGGAGUGCAUCACCUACUCUAUUUCAAAUAUAACAUAAAUUAGCUACCACAACAUGACUACUUUCAAGUGGUGUAAGGAUAUAUAUAUAUAAAUAAUUCCAGCAUAUCAAAAAAUUUGCGUUUAUGUGUGUUGUAAUUAUAAGAAAUAUCUUGGUUAUUAUUUACUUGUAAUGGUGAUCCAUAAAUAUAUGAAUCAUUCUUAUCUUCAUAAUUAAUAUAUUUAUAUGAUAAAAGGUCAUAUCUAUAGUGUUUUUUAAAAUUUUCUUUUUGAUUCGUUAAUGAGUCUACUUCAUAAUCAUUUUGUUUGUUGUAAUGAAUUAAUUGAUCUUUUUAAGAUAAAUCCCAUUUGCUUAAAUCUUUAUUUUGAUUUUGAGCCACACUUACUCUAUUUCGCCACUUUUGUGGUACUAAUCUAGACCAUAUUAUCGGAGAUAAAUAUUUAUAUUGAUAAUGACCUCUUAACCAGUUUUUCCAUUGAUUCAUUCCAGAAUUACAAAGUUUCUUAUGUCUUAAUUUGUAAUGAAAUAUUUCGUGUGCUCCAAAACCCAAAUAAUCUUUUCUUUCGUUCUUAAGAAAAAGAGAUGUUCCAUUAUAUUGAAGGACAGAUCUUAACUUAUACAAGUUAAUAACUUGGGUUUGUGAUAAUUUGUAAAAUACAUAUGCUUGUGACAAGGAGGAUAAGUCACAAAAAAUUUGUGAACUCUUAUUACUAAUAUUAGAAAAUGUCCCCUAUAUCCCCACAAAUCGACCAUGCUUGCAAUUUCCUAAAAAAGGUCUCCACUUCUCCCAUUACUCCCCUCCCAAAUGGUCCAAAAAAUAUGAAUCUAUUUUGUGAACCUAAAGUUCCCAACAAUCCCCCUCCCCUCCCUACUCCCACACCUGGCUACUCGCAUCUUUGGUGGUGGUUAUUGAGAACAAUGUAGAAAAAACCACUCCCAAGGCUAAGUCAUCGCACCACCUAUUCUUCCAAAAUUUCACCUUUUGUCCAUCUACUACCCUAAAACUAGCUCUACUAUUGAAGGCCUCCCACCUCUUUUGAUUGCCUUCCACACACUCACAUUACCGAAUCUUCAACACUAUUUGCAAAAAAAGCGCUGUUAAAAAUUGACAAACUUCUAAUACCCAAGCCACCCUCCUCAUAUCCAUGCAAAUUGUCAACUAAUUCACCAAAUGUCAUUUUCUCUAAAGAGCUCCUCCCCUUGAAUCAAAAUUCCUUUGGAUCCUUUCCAACCUUAAAACUACUUUUAUCGAUAUGACAAAUAAAGACAUAAGGUAAAUUGGUAAGCUAGAUAAAGUGUAUUUUUAUAAGGGUUAACAUUCCCCCUUUUGAUAGGUAUCUUAUCUUCCACAUAGUGAGAUGAUUCUAAAAUCUUUCUUCCACCACAUUCCAAACCCAGAUUGAUCUAAAAAGUACUCUCAGUGAAAGACCUAAAUAAAGUAAGGAGGAUACCCACUUUACAACCUAGAACCUUAGCUAAGGUAUGUACAUUAGCAACCUCCCUAGCUAGGAUAAACUUGAUUUUCUCUAGAUUGAUUUUUAACUCUAAGGCUAAAAUUGCCUUAAACCACAUGAAUACCAAGCUCAAAUACUUCAUAUGCUUCUUAUUAGCAUUAUAGAGAAUAAAAGUAUCAUUGGCAAAUAAUAGGUGGGACACCUCCAUUCCCUUUCCUCUACCAUUAACUAAAGACACUAUGAUGAAGCCCCCUUCCUUUGCCUAAUUCAAAAUAAAGGAGAACCCUUGACAUGAUCAUACCCCUUCUCAAUCUCUAGCUUAUAUAUGACCUAACUAUCGGUGCUUGGAAUUGAAUCCCAUUCUUUUCCAAGACCACCAGUAAGAUGCCUCAGUUGACAUGAUCAUACACCUUCUCAAUAUCCAACUUAUAUAUGACCCCAGUGUUGGUGCUUUUCAACCUUGAGUUAAUGGCUUAUUUACUAUGCAAACAGUAUCAAAAAUUUGUUUGCCUCCACAGACACAUGCAGCAAAACCACUUUUCCAUUACUUUAUAUAGUUUCCCACCAAAUUGAUGGGUUUAAAAUCUCUUAAAUCUUUUGCACCCCCUUUUUUGGAACUAACAUUAUAAACAUGGCAUUUAAGCUUCUUUUGAAAGAGCCUAACUCAUAUAACUUUGCAAAAAAACUUUAUUACCUCACUUUCCAUAAAGUCUCAACAAAAUUACCAAAAGGCCAUGGAGAAGCAUUAGCCCAAGGGGUUUAUCCCCACACAAACUAGAGGACUGAAAAAACCUCAAAAAAUGGUAUCUCUAGGGAACUUGAAUCCUCUCUACGCAAAGUUUCAUACGUAAUUCCAUUGAUGUUCGGUCUCUACUCCCCCAACUGAAAAAGAAGGCUAUGGAAAGCAUUUGUCACCCCCUCCUUUAUGUCUAUAUCUUGAGAUAACAUUAGUUUCUUCUUCUACAAGCAUUGGACAUUUUAUGAAAUAAAUUUACAUGUUUAUCACCUUCUUUAAGCCAUAAUUAUCUUUAUUUUUGCCUACACAAGACUUCUUCCAUUGUCGCCCACUUUCUAAAAGAGAGGCUUCCCUUUCCUUAGCAUCCUAGAACCCAAUUCGAUUGAGAGUUGCAACUUUAUUUAGUACUGACAUUCUUAAAGCCACAUCAAUGCAUAAGGGUGAUUCAGGUUUUUUACUCAUUUCACACCUUAUCAAGGUGAUACAACUCAUCCAAGUCAUACUGAUCUCAACAAAGUCAUAUCUGACUCGGCCGCUACUUUGAACACUACCUCCAAGGUACAACAAUCAACUGCCAACAACGAUGCACUUCAAUAACUACAGCAACACAACUCUUCCAAAGUGUUUCUACAAAUAGAAGUCACACAAAGUGAUCAAUAAAGAGUGACACAUUGCUAUCUAAGGUCUUCAUUACUGCAAUAUGGGGGCUCUCUUUUGUCCCCCUCUCAAAUCAAAUUGGCAUACUCUAAAUGGAAAAAAAAAAAAAAAAGAUGAUUUGUAGGGGUAGAAAUUAGUAACUAAGAACUCUUCUCAAAUUAAUCCAACAGGAAAAAUAAUAAUAAAAGAAACCCAAAAUAGGUUUAAAAAAAUGGAACAAAAAGUCGGACCAAUUUGGGUGCACCAAAGUGGCUUGAAUCCAAGGAGGUUCCCCCCUAGGUGUUUGAUGGAUGCAAACGUGUCCUGUUAGAUGGUUUACAACCUAGGCCUCCCUAAAAUCUCACUAGAUGGGCUUCAACAUGGCGCAUGUGUGGACCUCCAAUUUCUCUCAAUAACAAACCCAUAAGGCAUAAAAAGUGAGUUUCAAUAUAAACCACCUUUUGGUUCCCAUCUUUUCCCACGUGGAACAAGGGAGCUUCAAGCAAUCUUCCUAUAUAUUAUUAGUUGCAAAGAGCACUUUUCAAGUUCCAAAUGGAUUCCAAUAUAUUGACAAUUUUUUCUUGGUGAGGGACAGUUUCUUCCUUCUUUUUGGGUUCUUUUGAACAUUAUGAUUGACAGACUAGAAUAACAAAUGUCAAGAUUGUUCAUCAUCUCAUUCAAUCAAGUUCAAUACCAUUCAAGAAGGUCCCUUACUGUCAAGGCAAUGUGCAGAAACAAAUACCAUUAGAACAUACAAGUGUUAUGCCAUAAAGCUGUUCCAGAGAGCUUCUUGUUGUUUAUGAAUCAAAUAGUCUAUUUAGAAACAAAAAAUAUAAAAGAAAUCAUAUAAUGCUGACAUAAGAAGACUUGCAUGGUUGGGAAAUAUUUUCAUCUCCCCUGUGAACAUGAAAAAUUUGUCAUCUUUGAAAACACAUCACAAUGCUUCUUUUGUCUCACCACUCCUAACAAUCUGAAAUUAGUUUACGCCUUCUGCCCAGAGAAUAUAUCUCUAUACAUAAACCUUAUAAUUUGUUGAAUAUAAUGUAUGUAUAGUAUACUAUCUUUCCUUAUUAAUAUAGGUCAUAUGUAUGGUAGUUAGGACUCCUAGCCUUGUAUAUAUAUAUAUCUCUCAAUUGUAAGUAAAAAUAUAUGAAUGAAAAUAAGGUUUUUCUCCUUUCUCUCUCUCUUUCAACAUGGUAUCAGAGCCAAGGAAGAAAACCUAAUUCUUUCCUGUUUUUCCGUGUCAUCAACUCCGGGAAACCUUCCGGUGACCGUGUUUCUUUCCGGUCACCGUGUUUCUUUCCGGUCACCUUUCCCAUCUCCCAAUACUUUCCGGUCAGUCGGAUCGUCGCUAGAAACCACUCACCGCCGGCGAAAUUUUCCGGCGAACUUUCCGGCGACCUAUUUUUCCGACACCGACCAUACCAGAAGGAGCGCCUGGAGGAGAUCUCCACCUUUUGUGAAGACACCAGCACCAAAAGAGGAGCCACGCGCCGUCCACGCGCGAUUUUCGGUCGGCGGCUGCAUCUCACGCGCCGGCGCGUGGGGGCGCGUGAGGCAUAUUCCGGCCACUUCCGACACCUCUCCAGGCUCGUCCGGCGCCGUCUUGGCCUUCUAGCCCCCCGGCAGUCCUCCCCGAGCCCUGCAUCUCCAUUUUUUUCCCUGUUUUUGGCUUUCUUGCCAUUCCGGCCACCUCCGACAGGGCUCCCCCUCCAUCUCCGAGGCUUGGGUGCUGCUUCUCUUCCUCUCCAGGCACGUCACGAACCUUUUCUCCAUUGAUUGCACCUCUCACAGCCGUGGUUUCACUUUUUUUCUCUCUCCGCCGAAAUCUGAACCCAUCUUAGGGCUCUCUUCGAUCCAAAUACGUGAAUAUGACCACCAAAAAUCAGAUCUUUACCUCUGUUAUCUCUGGAUCUCCUAUGAUUACCUCAGAGAAAUUGGUUGGCAGUGAGAAUUAUCUCUCCUGGUCUGCUUCUGUUGAACUUUGGUUUAUGGGUCAAGGAUAUGAGGAUCACUUGGUUACCCAGGAGGCAGAUAUCCCUGAGGUUGACCGCGUACAGUGGCGGAAGAUAGAUGCACAGUUAUGUAGUGUAUUAUGGCAAUCGGUUGAUCCCCGGAUUCUUCUUCAUCUUCAGGCCUAUAAAACUUGUUUUAAGUUUUGGACUCAGGCCAAAGGAUUAUACACGAAUGAUAUCCAGCGUCUUUAUAAGGUGGCUUCUGCUAUUGUCCAUCUCAGCCAACAGGACUUGGACCUAUCUACUUAUAUUGGUCAGAUUGCCUCUCUUAAGGAGCAGUUCCUGACUGUGAUGCCUCUUACUCCUGAUGUUGGGGCUCAACAAACACAACUUGACAAGUUCUUCAUGGUUCUUACUCUUAUUGGCCUCCGUCCGGAUCUUGAGCCUAUUCGUGAUCAGAUUCUUGGCAGUUCAUCAGUUCCGUCCUUGGAUGAUGUGUUUGCUCGCCUCCUGCGUAUCUCGUCCACUCAGACUUUGACAUCUGAUAGCGCUUCAGAUUCUUCUGUGUUAGUUUCUCAAACUACCUCUCGAGGAGGACGCAGUGGUACCCGAGGUAGAGGCCAACGUCCUCAAUGCACCUAUUGCAAUAAACUUGGCCACACUCGCGAUCGUUGCUAUCAGUUACAUGGAAGACCUCCUCGCACUGCCCAUAUGGCCCAGUCCUCUGAUUCUCUGUUGCCUCAGCCUCCGAGCUCCUCCGCAUCUCAGACAUCUCAGGCUUCUAUUGCCUCUGUUGCCCAGCCUGGUAAUGCCUCUGCCUGCCUUACCCACACAUCUUCUCUUGGACCCUGGAUUCUAGAUUCUGGAGCAUCUGAUCACCUAUCUGGUAAUAAGGAUCUUUUCUCCUCUAUUACUACUACCUCUGAUUUACCUACUGUUACCUUAGCUAAUGGUUCUCAAACUGUGGCUAAAGGUAUUGGUUUGGCCCUUCCUCUGCCUUCUCUACCUCUCACUUCUGUCCUUUAUACUCCUGAAUGUCCUUUUAAUCUUAUUUCCAUCAGCAAAAUCACUCGUACUCUUAAUUGCUCUAUUACAUUUUCUGAUAAAUUUGUGACCUUGCAGGACCGGAGUACGGGGAAGACGAUUGGCAUAGGACGUGAGUCUCAAGGCCUCUAUCACCUCACCUCAGAUUCAUCUCCUGCAGUUUGCAUUUCCACUGAUGCUCCUCUCCUCAUUCACAAUCGUCUGGGCCACCCUAGUCUCUCCAAGUUCCAGAAGAUGGUUCCUCGUUUUUCCACUUUGUCGUCGCUUCCGUGUGAGUCAUGUCAGCUUGGGAAACAUACUCGUGUCUCGUUCCCAAAGCGUUUGAAUAAUCGGGCAAAGUCUCCUUUUGAGCUUGUUCACACUGAUGUUUGGGGUCCUUGUCGGACUGCGUCUACUUUAGGAUUUCAGUAUUUUGUCACUUUCAUUGAUGACUAUUCUCGAUGUACUUGGUUAUUUUUAAUGAAAAAUCGAGCUGAGUUAUUCUCAAUUUUCCAGAAAUUUUAUACUGAAAUCCAAACCCAGUUCAAUAUUUCUAUUCGUGUGUUACGCAGUGACAAUGCCAGGGAAUAUUUUUCAGCCCAAUUUACUUCGUUUAUGUCUCAUCAUGGGAUUCUUCAUCAGUCUUCUUGUGCUCAUACUCCUCAACAAAAUGGGGUAGCUGAACGCAAGAAUCGACAUCUUGUUGAGACAGCUCGUACUCUCCUCCUCCAUAGUCACGUUCCUUUUCGCUUUUGGGGGGACGCUGUUCUUACCGCUUGUUAUUUGAUUAAUCGUAUGCCCUCCUCUGUCUUACAUGAUCAGAUUCCUCACUCCCUUCUUUUCCCUGACCAACCACUUUAUUUCCUUCCUCCUCGUGUCUUUGGUUGUACUUGCUUUGUUCAUAUUCUCACUCCUGGACAGGACAAGCUUUCCGCCAAAGCCAUGAAGUGCCUCUUCUUGGGAUAUUCCAGACUUCAGAAGGGUUAUCGUUGUUAUUCCCUUGAGACUCAUCGGUACUUUAUCUCCGCUGAUGUCACCUUUUUUGAGGACUCACCCUUCUUUUCCACCACUUCUGAGUCUCUUCCUGUUUCUGAAGUCUUGCCCAUUCCCAUUGUCUCCCCACCUGAAGCUAUGCCCCCUCGACCACUUCAGGUUUAUCAUCGUCGUCCUCGUGUCGUUGCUCCUCUCCCUUUUCCUGAGGCACCUGCUGACUCACUUCCUAUCCCUUCGGCUUCACCUGCCCCGGCUCUGCCUUCUCCUAAUGACUUACCCAUUGCUGUUCGGAAAGGUACUCGCUCUACUCGUAAUCCUCAUCCUAUUUACAAUUUUUUGAGUUAUCAUCGAUUAUCUUCACCCUAUUCUGCUUUUGUUUCUGCUAUAUCCUCUGUUUCUCUUCCCAAGAGCACCCAUGAAGCUCUUUCCCAUCCAGGCUGGCGACAGGCAAUGGUGGAUGAAAUGGCUGCUCUGCACUCUAAUGGCACUUGGGAUCUUGUUGUUUUACCCCCUGGUAAAUCUACAGUUGGUUGUCGUUGGGUCUAUGCAGUUAAGGUUGGUCCUGAUGGUCAGGUUGAUCGCCUUAAGGCCCGCUUAGUUGCUAAAGGCUAUACUCAAGUUUAUGGUUCUGAUUAUGGUGACACAUUCUCCCCUGUUGCCAAGAUUGCUUCUGUCCGCUUGCUUCUCUCCAUGGCUGCUAUGUGUUCUUGGCCUCUUUAUCAGUUGGAUAUUAAAAAUGCCUUCCUUCAUGGUGAUCUUGCCGAGGAAGUUUAUAUGGAGCAACCUCCUGGUUUUGUUGCUCAGGGGGAGUCUGGUUUAGUGUGCAGGUUACGCCGUUCUCUAUAUGGCUUGAAACAAUCUCCUCGAGCAUGGUUUAGCCGUUUUAGUUCUGUUGUUCAAGAGUUUGGCAUGCUUCGCAGUACAGCAGACCAUUCAGUUUUUUAUCAUCAUAACUCCUUGGGGCAGUGUAUUUAUCUGGUUGUUUAUGUGGACGACAUCGUCAUUACAGGCAGUGAUCAGGAUGGUAUACAGAAACUAAAGCAACAUCUUUUUACCCACUUUCAGACCAAAGACUUGGGGAAACUCAAGUAUUUCUUGGGAAUUGAGAUAGCUCAAUCUAGUUCUGGUGUGGUCCUUUCCCAAAGGAAGUAUGCUUUAGACAUCCUGGAAGAAACCGGUAUGUUAGACUGUAAACCGGUAGACACACCUAUGGAUCUGAAUGUCAAACUUGUACCAGGACAGGGGGAGCCUUUAGGAGACCCCGGGAGAUAUCGACGACUCGUAGGUAAAUUGAACUAUCUCACCAUUACUCGUCCAGACAUUUCUUUUCCUGUGAGUGUUGUUAGUCAAUUCCUACAGUCACCAUGUGAUAGCCAUUGGGAUGCCGUAAUCCGUAUUCUUCGAUAUAUCAAAAGUACACCAGGCCAAGGUGUAUUGUACGAGAACAGAGGUCAUACUCAAGUUGUUGGUUACACAGAUGCAGAUUGGGCUGGCUCACCCACAGAUAGACGUUCCACUUCAGGGUACUGUGUUUUUAUUGGAGGUAAUCUAAUAUCUUGGAAGAGUAAGAAACAAGAUGUAGUGGCCAGAUCUAGCGCUGAAGCCGAGUAUCGAGCUAUGGCUUUGGCAACAUGUGAACUCAUAUGGUUGAGACAUCUUCUUCAGGAGUUGCGAUUUGGAAAGGAUGAACAGAUGAAACUCAUCUGUGAUAACCAGGCCGCAUUACAUAUUGCAUCCAAUCCAGUCUUUCAUGAAAGGACCAAGCAUAUUGAAGUUGACUGUCAUUUCAUUAGAGAGAAGAUCGCAUCAGGAUGUGUUGCUACAAGUUUUGUCAAUUCAAAUGAUCAACUAGCAGACAUCUUCACUAAAUCUCUCAGAGGUCCUAGGAUUAAAUAUAUUUGUAACAAGCUUGGUGCAUAUGACGUAUAUGCUCCAGCUUGAGGGGGAGUGUUGAAUAUAAUGUAUGUAUAGUAUACUAUCUUUCCUUAUUAAUAUAGGUCAUAUGUAUGGUAGUUAGGACUCCUAGCCUUGUAUAUAUAUAUAUCUCUCAAUUGUAAGUAAAAAUAUAUGAAUGAAAAUAAGGUUUUUCUCCUUUCUCUCUCUCUUUCAACAUAAUUAUUAGACUACCAAUUUCCCCAACAGCCCAAAUUUAUUAAGGAGUUCGUGAGCUGUAAACUCAUUGGUUUUUGUUAGUGAGGCUCAUAAUUCAUGAGUUUUACGCUUAUCUGGUCAAGCCAAGGCAAGUUCCAGUGCCUCUUCAUAAACAAGAUUACAAAAAAUAUCCAAGCCAAAAUGAUAAAGGAUGAAGAAACUUCCUGUUUGGAAAUAAAAUAAUAAUUGAUUGGUUGGGUUCUUACUGAGGGAGGGAGUCAUCUUUUGUUCUCCUUGUCCUUUUUUGGUGCCUUUUGGCAACCGUUGCAUAUAUCCUAUGUACCUUGGUGUGCCGAUUUGGUGCUUUAUUAAUAUUAUUUGCAUUUACCUAUUCAAAAAUAUUAAUAAUAAUAAACAAUAAUAAUAAUAUACCU
RNAcentral lists this long non-coding RNA (9907 nucleotides) under Vitis vinifera (wine grape). RNAcentral's name for it is "long non-coding RNA (VVIN_LNC002502)". The record is from RNAcentral. Lineage: Eukaryota; Viridiplantae; Streptophyta; Magnoliopsida; Vitales; Vitaceae.